GUCCGGUGAGAACCACCCUUUAUGUGAGAACUACCAUCUAUAUGAGAACCAAUACCAACCGUUAGAUUAUAUGAAAUUCAACAACUAAGAUCUCCAUUCUCGCGUUCUCUCUCCUCUCCAUUCUCCUCUCCUUUCUCUCCUUUCUCUCUCCUCCUCUCCAUUUUCUCACGCAUCUCUCCUCCUCUCCAUUUUCUCACGCAUCUCUCCUCUCCAUUGUCUUUGAAGCUUCAGAAGCAGCUCGCUGCCGAUAUUCUCAAGUGUGGUCGUGGUAAGGUUUGGCUUAAUCCUAAUGAAGGCAAUGAAAUCUCCAUGGCUAACUCUCGUCAAAAUGUCAGAAAGUUGGUUAAAGAUGGUUUCAUUAUCAAGAAGCCUACCAAGAUUCAUUCAAGGUCUCAUGCUCGUCGUAUGAUGAAGGCGAAGAGGAAGGGUUGUCACUCAGGAUACGGAAACUCUUUGUGCUGUAUAGAGUCAUCAGCCAUUGUGUCAUGGGCUUUGAAGAAAGAGUUGUGGAGCAUGGUGAUGUGAAGCAAGAUGAUCAAUUAGGGGCUCUCAGCCUGCAUGCAUUUUCUGAUUUGUCAUGCGUUUCACCCGUUGUAUUUCUUUUUUUAUUAAUAGAAUCUUAUAUCUAUGGUAGUACUUCUUUGCUGCACAAUAUUAUUAGGUGGUAGUUAAUCACGAUUAUUUCUCAUGUUCUUUACUCUUCUUUAAAUAUUUUUUGUGAACUAACUAUUGUCUUG
Long non-coding RNA from Chenopodium quinoa (quinoa), 737 nucleotides. RefSeq lists it as uncharacterized. The transcript has 3 exons. The record is from RefSeq and is a predicted model, not a curated record. Lineage: Eukaryota; Viridiplantae; Streptophyta; Magnoliopsida; Caryophyllales; Amaranthaceae.